GGUGUAAACAGAGGUUGCAAAUAGAUUGUGAAGGGGAUAUUGAAUGCCCUGAGUGUCGGGUUUGGACUCCCUGGGAUAAGAGGGGACGGGCUACGUAUACAGUUGAGAUUGUUUGUGGUUGGAAAGGUAGCCGAAAUAGUGAA
Molecule: long non-coding RNA, 143 nt
Organism: Aquila chrysaetos chrysaetos
Lineage: Eukaryota; Metazoa; Chordata; Aves; Accipitriformes; Accipitridae
Exons: 3
Source: RefSeq, a predicted model, not a curated record